RNAcentral lists this ribosomal RNA (505 nucleotides) under uncultured bacterium. RNAcentral describes it as "partial 16S ribosomal RNA". It matches the Rfam family "Bacterial small subunit ribosomal RNA", at positions 28 to 507 of the family's 1533-position model. The record is from RNAcentral.
GACGAACGCUGGCGGCGUGCCUAAUACAUGCAAGUAGAACGCACAGUUUAUACCGUAGCUUGCUACACCAUAAGCUGUGAGUUGCGAACGGGGUAGUAACCCGUAGGUAACCUGCCUGGUAGCGGGGGAUAACUAUGGGAAACGAUAGCUAAUACCUCAUGAUAUUGAGUAUUGCAUGAUAAUUUAUUGAAGGUUGCGAUUGCAUCACUACUAGAUGGCCCGGCGUUGGAUUAGCAAGUAGGUGAGGUAUCGGCGCACCUAGGCGAGGAGACAUAGCCCCAAUGCGAGGGUGGUCGGCCGGCCUGGGAGUGAGACACGGCCCAGACGGCUUCGGGAGGCAGCAGUAGGGAAUCUUGGGCAAUGGGCGAAAGUCUGAGCGAGCAACGCCGAGUGAGUGAAGAAGGUUUUCGGAUCGUAAAGCUCUGUUGUCAGGGAAGAACGGGUGUGAGAGUGGAAAGUUCCCACUGUGACGGUAUCUUAUCAGAAAGGGACGGCUAACUACGUG